AAAAUAGAAAGCUCCUCCAAUCAUCUCUCCUGCAAGGACACUAAGUUAACAACUAUCCAUAUGGAAAAAACACCUUCACGAGAACCAAAAAUCAGGAUAUUCUAUCACUCUAACUGAUGGAAGUUCUUCAAGGAAGCUUUUCUCACAACUUACCUUUUUCUUCUAGCAAAGGGACCAUUUGGUCAUAACAAAGACAUUCCUGGGGAAGGAGUGAGAAGCAGAGCACAAUCGUCAAGUCUCUUUCUUUCAACCUGCUGAUAAACCACACUGCUGUUCCAACUCCUGCAAAUCCAGCUUUGCCAAGAACUUUGUGUGCUUUCCACAGCAGGUGGUCUUUCUUAAGUCAUUUUCCAGAGGAGAAGCCAGCUGCCCUCUCUUGACAUAGCCAUGUGAAGAUGCUCAAGUACUGAAGAUCCUAAGCCUGCCAAC
This 429-nucleotide long non-coding RNA is filed under the name Homo sapiens (human). RNAcentral's name for it is "HSALNT0310963". The record is from RNAcentral. Lineage: Eukaryota; Metazoa; Chordata; Mammalia; Primates; Hominidae.